RNAcentral lists this unclassified non-coding RNA (356 nucleotides) under soil metagenome. Its description in RNAcentral is "partial contains 5.8S ribosomal RNA, internal transcribed spacer 2, and large subunit ribosomal RNA". The stretch from base 1 to 120 matches the Rfam family "5.8S ribosomal RNA", at positions 35 to 154 of the family's 154-position model. The record is from RNAcentral.
GAUGAAGAACGCAGCGAAAUGCGAUAAGUAAUGUGAAUUGCAGAAUUCAGUGAAUCAUCGAAUCUUUGAACGCACAUUGCGCCCGCCAGUAUUCUGGCGGGCAUGCCUGUCCGAGCGUCAUUUCAACCCUCGAACCCCUCCGGGGGUCCGGCGUUGGGGAUCGGGAACCCCUAAGACGGGAUCCCGGCCCCGAAAUACAGUGGCGGUCUCGCCGCAGCCUCUCAUGCGCAGUAGUUUGCACAACUCGAACCGGGAGCGCGGCGCGUCCACGUCCGUAAAACACCCAACUUCUGAAAUGUUGACCUCGGAUCAGGUAGGAAUACCCGCUGAACUUAAGCAUAUCAAUAAGCGGAGGA